AUACUUACUUAGUAGAGGAGAUACCAUAGCCAAGAAGGAACUUUUUCCAGGGAGUGUUUUAUCCACUGGACUACAAAUUUCUUUCUCCUGCAUUUCUCUUAACUGUAGAAAUUUUGACCUAGUAACUUGUGGUAGUGGAGAACUGUGUUCAUAUUCUCCUU
Molecule: small nuclear RNA, 161 nt
Organism: Grammomys surdaster
Lineage: Eukaryota; Metazoa; Chordata; Mammalia; Rodentia; Muridae
Product: U1 spliceosomal RNA
Exons: 1
Source: RefSeq, a predicted model, not a curated record